CUAGCAAGAAGUUGGAAAGUUGUUCAUUAUUCUUAAGCGAGCUGUACUAACAGAACUCGGAACCCUAUAUUCCAUAUCCUUUUCCCUGCGAUUGAGAGCCUAAAGGUUAGGCGGCUUGCUUCAAAGUUCCCUUGGCGGGAAGUUAUAUCCAUAACAUGGGGAACCUUGCCCUCACAGCCCAAUUCAUCCUCUAGUUUGGACACAAGCAGCUUCAAUCACGCAAGCUGCCAGCAAACAAGGGUCAGACACAGAUAAAUGCUCACUAUUGGUUACACAUUUGCUUCCAAUUUUAUAUAUAGAUAUAUAUAAUAAUUCCAUGAUUCUAUCAUCCUCACCAGCCAAGAUUCUUAUCGGCGAGAUCUUGGAAUCACCGGACUGAAGAGCCAAUGGCUCGACUGCGGACAUGGGAAAUGCAUCCACGGGGAGCGGCGCCGGUUCCAAAACAUCUCCUACAGAUGCUAAAGGUGUAUUUAUGUGAACAAUUCAGCCAGCAUAAAUGUAGACCCCAUCAGCCUUAAGCUUUAGCCAAGUAGCUAGAUAAACAGCCAAGCCGGGGAAAACCCUCAGCUCCAACCGGCUCGGCCGCGGGUGACGCUAUUACCUCACAAAUUC
RNAcentral lists this small RNA (612 nucleotides) under Histoplasma ohiense. RNAcentral describes it as "hypothetical lncRNA". Lineage: Eukaryota; Fungi; Ascomycota; Eurotiomycetes; Onygenales; Ajellomycetaceae. The record is from RNAcentral.